AUUGAACGCUGGCGGCAGGCCUAACACAUGCAAGUCGAACGGUGACAGGAAGCAGCUUGCUGCUUUGCUGACGAGUGGCGGACGGGUGAGUAAUGUCUGGGAAACUGCCUGAUGGAGGGGGAUAACUACUGGAAACGGUAGCUAAUACCGCAUAACGUCGCAAGACCAAAGAGGGGGACCUUCGGGCCUCUUGCCAUCGGAUGUGCCCAGAUGGGAUUAGCUAGUAGGUGGGGUAACGGCUCACCUAGGCGACGAUCCCUAGCUGGUCUGAGAGGAUGACCAGCCACACUGGAACUGAGACACGGUCCAGACUCCUACGGGAGGCAGCAGUGGGGAAUAUUGCACAAUGGGCGCAAGCCUGAUGCAGCCAUGCCGCGUGUAUGAAGAAGGCCUUCGGGUUGUAAAGUACUUUCAGCGGGGAGGAAGGGAGUAAAGUUAAUACCUUUGCUCAUUGACGUUACCCGCAGAAGAAGCACCGGCUAACUCCGUG
Molecule: ribosomal RNA, 490 nt
Filed under: uncultured bacterium
Lineage: Bacteria
Description: partial 16S ribosomal RNA
Rfam family: Bacterial small subunit ribosomal RNA
Source: RNAcentral